GCCAACUAUAACAAACAAACAGUGAAUAUGGAAGAUGCCGAUGAGAUGCUAAAUAUUAGGAAGCAUUAGAGAAAAGCCAGAAAAUGAAGCAGCAACACUCAAAAGUUAUAAUGUUGAUUGUUGAUACUCUAAGCUAAACCAGACAACUGAAGGUAGCUCUGUUCUAAGAGUUGCUGCUUGGAUCUCAUUUGACUCUUCAUUGUAUAACUCCUUCCAGCAUUCACUUACAGCUUCAAUGAAGUGCUUAGAUACUACACUUGAUCAAUAACUCAUUCUCAUCACUUCAAUUUACCUACAUGACAACAUCACAGGUUGAUUGGCGACGUCCGUCCAUAUCUUCUGGUCCAAACUGUAUCAUGCGUUGUCAUACCUCUUGUGGCCAUUUUAUUGCUUCCAAUGUACACACAUUCAACGUAUUGGCUAUGGGAUGCAGAUUGCCUGCAGCAUCAAAAUUAAAUAAGUAACAACUCUUGGCAUUUCACCACAUGAACCUUCGUUCUCAAUAAGGAUUAUUGAGAUUGUGCGGCGGUCCAUGAUGACGGUCACCACUAAUAGCAGCGCCGCAUUAAGGAUCCUUUCCAACUUCCCGCUAUCUCGGAACCCUAGCACAAGACUCUCUUUCUUCGAUUUCCUUUUUGCUGUUUGAGAAUUCGAGAAACCUUAUGCUGAAUGUUUCUUGUUUAACUUUAAUUGAGGACUUAAACCCCUAAGUUGUGAUGUUGAUGUGUUGAAACUCACUGAAGAUCCCAGUGGAUUCGACUUGGUUGAUCUGUAUGUGGAGCACGAGGUUGAUAACCCUGACAUAAUAGACGAGGCAGAGGCAUUUCAGGGAGUUGAUGUUGUUGAUGAUCUUAAAGUUAACAAUGAUAAGAAUGAUAAUGUUGUAGUUGAUGAUGAUGGUGAAGUUAACAAUGAUAAGGAGAAUAAUGUUGUAGUUAAUGAUGAUGUUGAAUGGUGGCCUGCCCGCUCCAAGUUGCGAGUUGGCCCAUGGGACUUGUGCGAAGGUACCUGUCUUAUGGGUCUUAGACAGGAGGGUAUAGCGUGAGGCUGGUUUCACAGAGCAGCGAACACUUCCUACUCUUGACAGUGGAAGGAUCACAGGCCGUUGUACCUCCAGUCCACAACACCUGGUGAGCCUAGCCCCUUGAACCAUCUCUUUUUGGGAGGUGGGGUUCAUACAUUUUGGGGUGCCAUGUCCUUAAAAAGUUAUGAAUGCUUAAAUUUCCAUGAUUUACAAACACCAUGAUGCACCCCUCUUGGAUCCUUUCUCAUAUAAUCCUUAUUUUUACUUACAGUUUGUAUUUGUAUAUUAGGAUAAGUUCGUUCUUCUUGUGGCACCGACCAUUGAGUUUCACCAAAUUUCUAUGCCUCAAUUGACUUCUGCUGAGUAUUGCUUUAUACCCUGUCAUGAAUCUGCUGAUAUCCUCUUUAUAGCGGCAACUGAGUUUGAACCUUUAAAAUAUCCCUUGUAAACACCACCUUGGCCAAGCUUUUGUGUCUCUUCAAAGUUGUUUGUUGCAUUCAACAGCUCAUAAUAACUCAUCUUCUUAGUCCAACACUCAUUUGGAAUUCAUCAUCCAUAUCCAG
Long non-coding RNA from Lathyrus oleraceus (garden pea), 1587 nucleotides. RefSeq lists it as uncharacterized. The record is from RefSeq and is a predicted model, not a curated record. NCBI's taxonomy places the organism in Eukaryota, Viridiplantae, Streptophyta, Magnoliopsida, Fabales, Fabaceae. The transcript is spliced from 5 exons.